RNAcentral lists this ribosomal RNA (193 nucleotides) under uncultured Moraxella sp. Its description in RNAcentral is "partial 16S ribosomal RNA". It matches the Rfam family "Bacterial small subunit ribosomal RNA", at positions 337 to 522 of the family's 1533-position model. Lineage: Bacteria; Pseudomonadati; Pseudomonadota; Gammaproteobacteria; Moraxellales; Moraxellaceae. The record is from RNAcentral.
UCCUACGGGAGGCAGCAGUGGGGAAUAUUGGACAAUGGGGGCAACCCUGAUCCAGCCAUGCCGCGUGUGUGAAGAAGGCCUUUUGGUUGUAAAGCACUUUAAGCAGGGAGGAGAGGCUAAUGGUUAAUACCCAUUAGAUUAGACGUUACCUGCAGAAUAAGCACCGGCUAACUUCGUGCCAGCAGCCGCGGUA